UACGGAGGGGGCUAGCGUUGUUCGGAAUUACUGGGCGUAAAGCGCACGUAGGCGGAUUGUUAAGUCGGGGGUGAAAUCCCGGGGCUCAUCCCCUGAAUGGCCUCCGAUACUGGCAAUCUUGCGGUCGGGAGAGGUGAGUGGAAUGGCAAGUGUAGAGGUGAAAUUCGUAGAUAUUCGCCGGAACACCAGUGGCGAAGGCGGCUCACUGGCCCGAUACUGACGCUGAGGUGCGACAACGUGGGGAGCAAACAGG
Molecule: ribosomal RNA, 253 nt
Filed under: uncultured bacterium
Lineage: Bacteria
Description: partial 16S ribosomal RNA
Rfam family: Bacterial small subunit ribosomal RNA
Source: RNAcentral